This 257-nucleotide ribosomal RNA is filed under the name uncultured bacterium. RNAcentral describes it as "partial 16S ribosomal RNA". It matches the Rfam family "Bacterial small subunit ribosomal RNA", at positions 524 to 776 of the family's 1533-position model. The record is from RNAcentral.
UACGUAGGGUGCAAGCGUUGUCCGGAAUUAUUGGGCGUAAAGAGCUCGUAGGCGGUCUGUCGCGUCGGCUGUGAAAACCCGGAGCUCAACUCCGGGCCUGCAGUCGGAUACGGGCAGACUGGAGUUCGGCAGGGGAGACUGGAAUUCCUGGUGUAGCGGUGAAAUGCGCAGAUAUCAGGAGGAACACCGGUGGCGAAGGCGGGUCUCUGGGCCGAUGACUGACGCUGGAGGUGACGAAAGCGUGGGGAGCAAACAGG